RNAcentral lists this ribosomal RNA (498 nucleotides) under uncultured bacterium. RNAcentral's name for it is "partial 16S ribosomal RNA". It matches the Rfam family "Bacterial small subunit ribosomal RNA", at positions 29 to 523 of the family's 1533-position model. The record is from RNAcentral.
AAUGAACGCUGGCGGCAUGCCUUACACAUGCAAGUCGAACGGUAACAGGUCUUCGGAUGCUGACGAGUGGCGAACGGGUGAGUAAUACAUCGGAACGUGGCUAGUAGCUGGGGAUAAAUACUCGAAAGAGUGGCUAAUACCGCAUUAGAUCUACGGAUGACAGCAGGGGAUCGCGAGACCUUGUGCUACUAGAGCGGCCGAUGGCAGAUUAGGUAGUUGGUGGGAUAAAAGCUUACCAAGCCGCCGAUCUGUAGCUGGUCCGAGAGGACGAUCGGCCACACUGGGACCGUGACACGGCCCAGACUCCUACGGGAGGCAGCAGUGGGGAAUUUUGGACAAUGGGCGCAAGCCUGAUCCAGCAAUGCCGCGUGCAGGAUGAAGGCCUUCGGGUUGUAAACUGCUUUUGUACGGAACGAAAAGCCCCGGGUUAAUACCCUGGGGUCAUGACGGUACCGUAAGAAUAAGCACCGGCUAACUACGUGCCAGCAGCCGCCGUAA